AUCGAACGCUGGCGGCAGGCUUAACACAUGCAAGUCGAGCGGGCAUCUUCGGAUUUCAGCGGCAGACGGGUGAGUAACACGUGGGAACGUACCCUUCUGUUCGGAACAACUCUGGGAAACUGCAGCUAAUACCGGAUACUCCCGUAUGGGGCAAGGUUGAGUGCCGUAGGAUCGGUCGGCGUCUGCUUAGCUGGUUGGUCGGGUGACGGCCUACCAAGGCGAGGAUCAGUAGCUGGGCUGAGAGGAUGAUCCGCCACACUGGUGGUGAGACACUGCGGCGAAUCUUAGGCGAGGGAGGAGAGGGGGAUACAGCCAAGCGGGGGCUAGCAAGAUGCACCCAUGACGGGUGAGUGAUGAAGGGUUUAGGGAAGGAAAGUACUUUUGUACGGGGCGGUAAUGACGGUACCGGAAGAAUAAGCACCGGCUAACUUCGUG
This 435-nucleotide ribosomal RNA is filed under the name uncultured bacterium. RNAcentral's name for it is "partial 16S ribosomal RNA". It matches the Rfam family "Bacterial small subunit ribosomal RNA", at positions 29 to 507 of the family's 1533-position model. The record is from RNAcentral.